AUGAACGCUGGCGGCGUGCCUAAUACAUGCAAGUCGAGCGAACAGACGAGGAGCUUGCUCCUCUGACGUUAGCGACGGACGGGUGAGUAACACGUGGAUAACCUACCUAUAAGACUGGGAUAACUUCGGGAAACCGGAGCUAAUACCGGAUAAUAUAUUGAACCGCAUGGUUCAAUAGUGAAAGACGGUUUUGCUGUCACUUAUAGAUGGAUCCGCGCCGCAUUAGCUAGUUGGUAAGGUAACGGCUUACCAAGGCAACGAUGCGUAGCCGACCUGAGAGGGUGAUCGGCCACACUGGAACUGAGACACGGUCCAGACUCCUACGGGAGGCAGCAGUAGGGAAUCUUCCGCAAUGGGCGAAAGCCUGACGGAGCAACGCCGCGUGAGUGAUGAAGGUCUUCGGAUCGUAAAACUCUGUUAUUAGGGAAGAACAAAUGUGUAAGUAACUAUGCACGUCUUGACGGUACCUAAUCAGAAAGCCACGGCUAACUACGUG
RNAcentral lists this ribosomal RNA (496 nucleotides) under uncultured bacterium. RNAcentral's name for it is "partial 16S ribosomal RNA". It matches the Rfam family "Bacterial small subunit ribosomal RNA", at positions 29 to 507 of the family's 1533-position model. The record is from RNAcentral.